This 446-nucleotide ribosomal RNA is filed under the name uncultured bacterium. RNAcentral describes it as "SSU rRNA". It matches the Rfam family "Bacterial small subunit ribosomal RNA", at positions 26 to 517 of the family's 1533-position model. The record is from RNAcentral.
AGAACGAACGCUGGCGGCAGGCUUAACACAUGCAAGUCGAACGGUUGUAGCAAUACAGCAGUGGCGCACGGGUGAGUAACGCGUGGGAACAUACCUUAGAGUUCGGAAUAACAGCGGGAAACUGCUGCUAAUACCGGAUAUUCUCUCCGGAGGAAAGAUUUAUCGCUCUAAGAUUGGCCCGCGUCAGAUUAGCUAGUUGGUGGGGUAAUGGCCUACCAAGGCUUCGAUCUGUAGCUGGUCUGAGAGGACGACCAGCCACACUGGAACUGAGACACGGUCCAGACUCCUACGGGAGGCAGCAGUGGGGAAUAUUGGACAAUGGGCGAAAGCCUGAUCCAGCCAUGCCGCGUGAGUGAUGAAGGCCUUAGGGUUGUAAAGCUCUUUGUCAGGGAAGAUAAUGACGGUACCUGAAGAAUAAGCACCGGCUAACUUCGUGCCAGCAGCCG